AGUGAACGCUGGCGGUAGGCCUAACACAUGCAAGUCGAACGGCAGCACAGUAAGAGCUUGCUCUUACGGGUGGCGAGUGGCGGACGGGUGAGGAAUACAUCGGAAUCUACUUUUUCGUGGGGGAUAACGUAGGGAAACUUACGCCAAUACCGCAUACGACCUACGGGUGAAAGCAGCGGAUCUUAGGACCUUGCGUGAUUGAAUGAGCCGAUGUCGGAUUAGCUAGUUGGCGGGGUAAAGGCCCACCAAGGCGACGAUCCGUAGCUGGUCUGAGAGGAUGAUCAGCCACACUGGAACUGAGACACGGUCCAGACUCCUACGGGAGGCAGCAGUGGGGAAUAUUGGACAAUGGGCGCAAGCCUGAUCCAGCCAUGCCGCGUGGGUGAAGAAGGCCUUCGGGUUGUAAAGCCCUUUUGUUGGGAAAGAAGAGCAGCAGGUUAAUACCCCGCUGUUCUGACGGUACCCAAAGAAUAAGCACCGGCUAACUUCGUG
This 492-nucleotide ribosomal RNA is filed under the name uncultured bacterium. RNAcentral describes it as "partial 16S ribosomal RNA". It matches the Rfam family "Bacterial small subunit ribosomal RNA", at positions 29 to 507 of the family's 1533-position model. The record is from RNAcentral.